This is a long non-coding RNA of Arachis ipaensis, 946 nucleotides long. RefSeq lists it as uncharacterized. The record is from RefSeq and is a predicted model, not a curated record. NCBI's taxonomy places the organism in Eukaryota, Viridiplantae, Streptophyta, Magnoliopsida, Fabales, Fabaceae.
AUAUAAGUUUUAAAUAAUAUUUGAGAACCAAAACUCAAUAUUGUAUUUACUAGUAAAAUUUUAAUUUUGAAGACAAAUUUCCAAGGUUCUGAAAACCGAAUCGGUCAUCAAACCGUUCUAGCUAUUGGUUUAUUGGUUUAUAAAUUUAACCGAUUUGACCGUAAUGAAACCGAAAAAACCGUUUUAUAAUAAAAUAAUAAAUAUAAAUAAACUGAUAUCAUAUACAUGCAGGCAAACUCAACAAUUAUAUUGAAUUAGGGGAAGUAUAAGGUAUAGAGUGAAUAAUUCAACCAUCAAUAAAACAAGCAAAUUCACAACAAUUAAGAAGGAAGAUUGAAUUAGUGAGAGGGUGAGCUUCUUGCAGCAGUUCAGUUAUUAUAGCAGAUAAAUCAUCAGAAAACAACUGAUAUUGUUUAGAUAUUUAAAGCAACAUGUUGUGCAACAACUAGAAAAGAGAGAAGAACAAGUAAUUGAGGAGGAACAACAGCAGGCAACGGUGGUGGCACCACGAGAGAAAAAGGAACCACCGGCUACUGUGUUGGCAGAAUCUGUGGAAACGGAAACAGAGCAGGCACUAGUGGUGAUAACUGAUAAGAAUAGAGGAAAUGGAACCACAGCAGACAUUAGUAGUUAGUGGGAAAAAAACUAAGUGGAAAAUAAUGGUGUGCUUGCUUAUCUACUGCAUUAGCCAAACAAAAAUAAUUAAGCAGCACUUUCUUGAUUAUCCCUGACCCUAUUUUGUAGUCAAUUAGAUGCACAAAGAGAAUUGAAGUUAGUCCACAAGUUGGAACAUGAAGCCAUAUUUUUUUUUCCUUUGCUCUCUCCCUCCCUCUCCUCUCCCUCGUCUUUCAAACACAUCUUAUUUUGGAUGAUGUAUGAUGUAUUAUAGUAGUGUAUCAAUUGUUAGAAAGUAGAGACCCAAGAUACAUAAAUAGAAUAACUUUUA